AGUCACCUACGGGGGGCAGCAGUCGGGAAUAUUGCGCAAUGGAGGAAACUCUGACGCAGUGACGCCGCGUAUAGGAAGAAGGUUUUCGGGUUGUAAACUAUUGUCGUGAGGGAAGAAAUUGACAGUACCUCAGGAGGAAGCUCCGGCUAACUACGUGCCGGCAGCCGCGGUAAUACGUAGGUGGCGAGCGUUAUCCGGAAUGAUUGGGCGUAAAGGGUGCGCAGGCGGUCCUGCAAGUCUGGAGUGAAACGCAUGAGCUCAACUCAUGCAUGGCUUUGGAAACUGGAGGACUGGAGAGCAGGAGG
Molecule: ribosomal RNA, 305 nt
Filed under: uncultured bacterium
Lineage: Bacteria
Description: bacterial SSU rRNA
Rfam family: Bacterial small subunit ribosomal RNA
Source: RNAcentral